CCUACGGGGGGCAGCAGUGGGGAAUAUUGGACAAUGGGGGCAACCCUGAUCCAGCCAUGCCGCGUGUGUGAAGAAGGCCCUCGGGUUGUAAAGCACUUUCAGUGAGGAAGAACGCCUGGUGGUUAAUACCCAUCAGGAAAGACAUCACUCACAGAAGAAGCACCGGCUAACUCCGUGCCAGCAGCCGCUGUAAUACGGAGGGUGCGAGCGUUAAUCGGAAUUACUGGGCGUAAAGCGCGCGUAGGUGGCUUGAUAAGCCGGUUGUGAAAGCCCCGGGCUCAACCUGGGAACGGCAUCCGGAACUGUCAAGCUAGAGUGCAGGAGAGGAAGGUAGAAUUCCCGGUGUAGCGGUGAAAUGCGUAGAGAUCGGGAGGAAUACCAGUGGCGAAGGCGGCCUUCUGGACUGACACUGACACUGAGGUGCGAAAGCGUGGGUAGCAAACAGGAUUAGAUACCCCGGUAGUC
RNAcentral lists this ribosomal RNA (465 nucleotides) under Vreelandella stevensii. RNAcentral describes it as "partial 16S ribosomal RNA". It matches the Rfam family "Bacterial small subunit ribosomal RNA", at positions 338 to 795 of the family's 1533-position model. Lineage: Bacteria; Pseudomonadati; Pseudomonadota; Gammaproteobacteria; Oceanospirillales; Halomonadaceae. The record is from RNAcentral.